Molecule: ribosomal RNA, 204 nt
Filed under: uncultured prokaryote
Description: partial 16S ribosomal RNA
Rfam family: Bacterial small subunit ribosomal RNA
Source: RNAcentral
UACAAGGGAGAUUAGCAUUUUUCUUAAGUAUUAGGUUUAAAGGGUACCUAGACGGUUUUUAAUAAAAAACUAGAGUUUUAUAGAAGAGAAUAAUAUAGUACCACUAGAGGAGGGAUAAAAUAUGUUGAUACUUUUGGGACUGGUAAAGGUGAAGACAAUACUCUAUGAAAACUGACGUUGAGGGACGAAGGAUUGGAUAACGAA